Molecule: ribosomal RNA, 468 nt
Filed under: uncultured bacterium
Lineage: Bacteria
Description: partial 16S ribosomal RNA
Rfam family: Bacterial small subunit ribosomal RNA
Source: RNAcentral
GACGAACGCUGGCGGCGUGCUUAACACAUGCAAGUCGAACGGAAAGGCCCUGCUUUUGUGGGGUGCUCGAGUGGCGAACGGGUGAGUAACACGUGAGUAACCUGCCCUUGACUUUGGGAUAACUUCAGGAAACUGGGGCUAAUACCGGAUAGGAGCUCCUGCUGCAUGGUGGGGGUUGGAAAGUUUCGGCGGUUGGGGAUGGACUCGCGGCUUAUCAGCUUGUUGGUGGGGUAGUGGCUUACCAAGGAUGUGACGGGUAGCCGGCCUGAGAGGGUGACCGGCCACAUUGGGACUGCGAUACGGCCCAGACUCCUACGGGAGGCAGCAGUGGGGAAUAUUGCACAAUGGGCCGAAGCCUGAUGCAGCAACGCCGCGUGCGGGAUGACGGCCUUCGGGUUGUAAACCGCUUUCGCCUGUGACGAAGCGUGAGUGACGGUAAUGGGUAAAGAAGCACCGGCUAACUACGUG